CGGCGCAGCCCCCAGUUCCCAUCCCCAAUUCCUCUCUCUCUCCCUUUCCCUCGUCUGCCGCCGCCAGCCCCACCCCCGCCCUCCCCGCAGCCGCCGCCACCACCGGCGCCCAGGUGUGGCGCUGCUCUUCUCCACGGUCCUGACGGCAAGGCGGCGACAAGAGUUAGAAGGCAGACGCGGACGGCCCCGUCAGAUCUCGUCCCGAUGAAGUCAAGGACGAGCUCCACCCGGACGAGGUCGAUCCGCCCCCCUGCCACACUUCUCCAUCGCGUCACCAUAUUUGGAGGAGCCGCGACUGCUGCUUGCGCAUCUGCUCCUCCCGGAGUUGUCGCCAUCGGCAGGAGGAGUGCCGGACCGCGCGCCAACUCGAGGACCGCCGCUCCGGCGGACCGUUGUUUCUGGCCGCCGCCCUCCUCUGGUGCGCCGUCUCGGCCUCCCCCCACCAGGAGCAGCAGCAGCGCCACAUCGGCACCGCCGCGCACCUCGCCGCCGGAGGCUUCGCUGGCAUCGUCAGCAAGACCUGCACCGCGCCCCUCGCCCGCCUCACCAUCCUCUUCCAGGUUUUGAUCGCUCCGGAAGUCACAUCGUCGUCAACUAAGCAGUGAUCAAUGAGCUGGUGAACCUGCACAGGGCGUCUUAUCUCGGUGGGAGGCUGCCGGCGAACAAUGGCAGGAAGAGCCUAUACAUGGCAGGCCCGUUGCCUUUCACUUAUGAAGAGUUUCAUAUCACUCUGCAUGACGAUAAUGAUGGCUCUGGCUCCCAUAGGCGACAAAGGAAUUUUAAGGUGGUGGUUAAGUUCGCCGCGUGACAUCUACAAAUGAAUUUACAAGUGAUUGAUCCAUGGAGUUCAGGCAACAACAACAGCUAGCUCCGUACAGGCUAAAGUGUGAUAGGGAACCGCUUAACAACAAGUUUGCGGUGCAGUCAGUGGGAAAUUGGCAGAUACUUCCCUCACAACGUUGGCACUGAUAUGUCUGUGGCCAUGUUCAGCCGGCUCCAGGUAUCUAGCUAUGGUUGUCGCUGCUACGGAGGCCAGAGGAGGAAGCUACGCUCUUCCAUGGCGGCCAGAGGAGGAGGAGGCACUUCUCCGGUCAGAUCAGUGGCUACCAUGUCGCCGUCAACGUCCACCCUCCUCGACAGAUCAACUUACUCCCAAGGCAACUGCUCCUGAUCUUGAACACGAGCUUGGAAAUCUGGCACCGACAUAUGCAGCUGCCGGUCAAAUUUCUCCAUAUUUUGGUUUGGAGAUUUUUGGAAGGAACAGUUGUUUAAUUGCUCAGAACCAUCUCUCAAAUGGAAACAUACAGCGAAGUUUUUCAGUAUAUGAGUUAUAUUGGAAACAGCAGCGCAUCUGGAACUCUCAGUAGGGGUGAUUUUCUUGUCAAAGGAUAUAUAAAGGGACAUUAGUUGCGCGGGUUAUCAUGCUUUAUUAGAAGGCAAGCUAGAGUCCAUUGUUCAAAGUACACCUGGAAAUCCGCAGGCUACCAUUUUAUAAGGAGAAGGAUUACAGAAAGGAAGGAUCAGCCUUGUCGGCAAUCUCUGUUUUCGAGUCGAACGACUAGUCGCGACUAGUCGUCGACUAGUCGACAAGUCGUUACAUGAAGGUCGACUCAACCUGUCGACUCGAAUCAUUGGAUGAGUCGAUCGACUCGAUCGACUAGUCCCGACUAGUCUCGACUAGUCGCAGUUUUUGAGGCGAACGACUCGUUCAAUCUGUCAUGAAAGAGAAGUUGGGCAGAGAAAAUGGAGCAGGGAAGGAGGGGUGGCUCCAGGGAAGGAUGGGGGAGGCGGAGAGGAAGGGGUGGAGGCAGAGAAGCCAUGGAGGAGGAGCUGCAGCAAGGCCAUUGCGGCUGUCGAUUCGUGCCUGGGGGCUGGAAGGGGAGCAGGUGAGAGAGAGAGUUAAGACGAGAGUGGAUGGGCGGUGAAGAUUAGAGAAUAUGGAUGGUCCAGAUUGAGCUAGGCAGGCUAGGGUUUCAUUGGGCCUUACUGGGCCAAUAUUGCCGUGUGGGCCAGUAUUGAAGGAAGAUUGGAGCGUCUGGAAACCUAGAUCGAACAGUUCCAGCCCCCCUCCCCCGACCCAGCCCUCUUCUGCAGCAGCCGCCGCCCUGGCUUGCUGCUCGUCCCCUUCUCCCCUGGUUGCUGCUGCCUGCUGCUCAUCCCUUGGUUGCCGCUGUUGUUGGGCUGCUCCUCCCAUCUCCUGAUGGCCUUGUCUUGGUUGGUUGCUGCGACUCCUCCCUUGGUUGCCGCUGGCUGCUGCUGGUCUGCUGCUGGUCUGCUCCCUACUGCUUAACUCACGUCGACUCAUCGCAUGUCGACUCGUCGACCAUGAGUCUAGACUAGUCACGACUAGUCUAGAGUCGCCCCCCCUGAGCGACUCGUCGACUCAUCGACUC
RNA transcript from Triticum aestivum (bread wheat), 2393 nucleotides. RefSeq lists it as uncharacterized. The transcript has 7 exons. NCBI's taxonomy places the organism in Eukaryota, Viridiplantae, Streptophyta, Magnoliopsida, Poales, Poaceae. The record is from RefSeq and is a predicted model, not a curated record.